ACGGGUGAGUAACGCGUGAGUAACCUGCCUUACAGAGGGGGAUAACGUCUGGAAACGGACGCUAAUACCGCAUAACAUAUUGGUGUCACAUGGCACUAAUAUCAAAGGAGCAAUCCGCUGAAAGAUGGACUCGCGUCCGAUUAGCUAGUUGGUGAGAUAAAAGCCCACCAAGGCGACGAUCGGUAGCCGGACUGAGAGGUUGAACGGCCACAUUGGGACUGAGACACGGCCCAGACUCCUACGGGAGGCAGCAGUGGGGGAUAUUGCACAAUGGAGGAAACUCUGAUGCAGCAACGCCGCGUGAGGGAAGAAGGUUUUCGGAUUGUAAACCUCUGUCCUUGGUGAAGAUAAUGACGGUAGCCAAGGAGGAAGCUCCGGCUAACUACGUGCCAGCAGCCGCGGUAAUACGUAGGGAGCAAGCGUUGUCCGGAUUUACUGGGUGUAAAGGGUGCGUAGGCGGCUUUUCAAGUCAGGCGUGAAAGCCGGAGGCUUAACCUCCGAAUUGCGUUUGAAACUGUUGAGCUUGAGUGAAGUAGAGGUAG
RNAcentral lists this ribosomal RNA (542 nucleotides) under uncultured bacterium. RNAcentral's name for it is "bacterial SSU rRNA". It matches the Rfam family "Bacterial small subunit ribosomal RNA", at positions 102 to 660 of the family's 1533-position model. The record is from RNAcentral.